CCUACGGGAGGCAGCAGUGGGGGAUAUUGCACAAUGGGGGGAACCCUGAUGCAGCGACGCCGCGUGGGUGAAGAAGCGCCUCGGCGCGUAAAGCCCUGUCAGCAGGGAAGAAACUGACGGUACCUUAAGAAGAAGCCCCGGCUAACUACGGGCCAGCAGCCGCGGUCAUACGUAGGGGGCAAGCGUUAUCCGGAUUUACUUGGUGUAAAGGGGGCGCAGACGGCGAUGCAAGCCAGGAGUGAAAGCCCGGGGCCCAACCCCGGGAGUGCUCGUGGAACUGCGUGGCUGGAGUGCAGGAGGGGCAGGCGGAAUUCCUGGUGUAGCGGUGAAAUGCGUAGAUAUCAGGAGGAACACCGGUGGCGAAGGCGGCCUGCUGGACUGCAACUGACGUUGAGGCCCGAAAGCGUGGGGAGCAAACAGGAUUAGAUACCCCUGUAGUC
This 440-nucleotide ribosomal RNA is filed under the name uncultured bacterium. RNAcentral describes it as "partial 16S ribosomal RNA". It matches the Rfam family "Bacterial small subunit ribosomal RNA", at positions 338 to 795 of the family's 1533-position model. The record is from RNAcentral.